RNAcentral lists this ribosomal RNA (323 nucleotides) under uncultured eukaryote. RNAcentral's name for it is "partial 18S ribosomal RNA". It matches the Rfam family "Eukaryotic small subunit ribosomal RNA", at positions 1470 to 1796 of the family's 1831-position model. The record is from RNAcentral.
CCCUUAGAUGUUCUGGGCCGCGCGCGCGCUACACUGAUGCAUGCAACGAGUUCUAUCCUUGGCCGGAAGGCCUGGGUAAUCUGUGAACGUGCAUCGUGAUAGGGAUAGAUUAUUGCAAUUAUUAAUCUUGAACGAGGAAUUCCUAGUAAACGCAAGUCAUCAGCUUGCAUUGAUUACGUCCCUGCCCUUUGUACACACCGCCCGUCGCACCUACCGAUCGAAGGUAAUGAUGAGCCCUCAGGAUUGUGGCCUCGUCGCGUCAGCGUCUUGGCUGCGAGAAUCUGUGCAAAUCCCUACCUUUAGAGGAAGGUGAAGUCGUAACA